RNAcentral lists this ribosomal RNA (165 nucleotides) under uncultured cyanobacterium. Its description in RNAcentral is "partial 16S ribosomal RNA". It matches the Rfam family "Bacterial small subunit ribosomal RNA", at positions 341 to 523 of the family's 1533-position model. The record is from RNAcentral. Lineage: Bacteria; Bacillati; Cyanobacteriota.
ACGGGAGGCAGCAGUGGGGAAUUUUCCGCAAUGGGCGAAAGCCUGACGGAGCAAUACCGCGUGAGGGACGAAGGUCUGUGGAUUGUAAACCUCUUUUGAUAGGGACGAUAAUGACGGUACCUAUCGAAUCAGCAUCGGCUAACUCCGUGCCAGCAGCCGCGGUAA